Molecule: ribosomal RNA, 869 nt
Filed under: Russula nauseosa
Lineage: Eukaryota; Fungi; Basidiomycota; Agaricomycetes; Russulales; Russulaceae
Description: LSU rRNA
Rfam family: Eukaryotic large subunit ribosomal RNA
Source: RNAcentral
CCCUAGUAACUGCGAGUGAAGCGGGAAAAGCUCAAAUUUAAAAUCUGGUGGUCUUUGGCCGUCCGAGUUGUAAUUUAGAGAAGCGUCUUCCGCGCUGGACCGUGCACAAGUCUCCUGGAACGGAGCGUCGUAGAGGGUGAGAAUCCCGUCUUUGGCAUGGACACACCAGGGCUUUUGCGAUGCGCUCUCGAAGAGUCGAGUUGUUUGGGAAUGCAGCUCAAAAUGGGUGGUGAACUCCAUCUAAAGCUAAAUAUUGGCGAGAGACCGAUAGCGAACAAGUACCGUGAGGGAAAGAUGAAAAGCACUUUGGAAAGAGAGUGAAACAGUACGUGAAAUUGUUGAAAGGGAAACGCUUGAAGUCAGUCGCGUCGUCCGAGACUCAGCCUCGCCUCGGCUUGGCGUACUUCUCGGCCCGACGGGUCAGCAUCAAUUUCGCCUCUCGGAUAAUGGCGAGGGAAAAGUGACACCUUUACGGUGUGUUAUAGUCUCUCGUCGCAUGCGAGGGUCGGGAUUGAGGAACUCAGCACGCGCCCUCGGGCGUCGGGGCCUUCGCCCACGAUACGUGCUUAGGAUGUUGGCGUAAUGGCUUUAAACGACCCGUCUUGAAACACGGACCAAGGAGUCUAACAUGCCUGCGAGUGUUCGGGUGGAAAACCCGUGCGCGCAAUGAAAGUGAAAGUUGGGACCUCCGUCGUGGAGGGCACCGACGCCCGGACCAGACCUUCUGUGACGGCUCUGCGGUAGAGCAUGCAUGUUAGGACCCGAAAGAUGGUGAACUAUGCCUGAAUAGGGUGAAGCCAGAGGAAACUCUGGUGGAGGCUCGUAGCGAUUCUGACGUGCAAAUCGAUCGUCAAAUUUGGGUAUAGGGG